This 2924-nucleotide ribosomal RNA is filed under the name Escherichia coli. Its description in RNAcentral is "23S ribosomal RNA". It matches the Rfam family "Bacterial large subunit ribosomal RNA". Lineage: Bacteria; Pseudomonadati; Pseudomonadota; Gammaproteobacteria; Enterobacterales; Enterobacteriaceae. The record is from RNAcentral.
GGGUUGUGAGGUUAAGCGACUAAGCGUACACGGUGGAUGCCCUGGCAGUCAGAGGCGAUGAAGGACGUGCUAAUCUGCGAUAAGCGUCGGUAAGGUGAUAUGAACCGUUAUAACCGGCGAUUUCCGAAUGGGGAAACCCAGUGUGAUUCGUCACACUAUCAUUAACUGAAUCCAUAGGUUAAUGAGGCGAACCGGGGGAACUGAAACAUCUAAGUACCCCGAGGAAAAGAAAUCAACCGAGAUUCCCCCAGUAGCGGCGAGCGAACGGGGAGCAGCCCAGAGCCUGAAUCAGUGUGUGUGUUAGUGGAAGCGUCUGGAAAGGCGCGCGAUACAGGGUGACAGCCCCGUACACAAAAAUGCACAUGCUGUGAGCUCGAUGAGUAGGGCGGGACACGUGGUAUCCUGUCUGAAUAUGGGGGGACCAUCCUCCAAGGCUAAAUACUCCUGACUGACCGAUAGUGAACCAGUACCGUGAGGGAAAGGCGAAAAGAACCCCGGCGAGGGGAGUGAAAAAGAACCUGAAACCGUGUACGUACAAGCAGUGGGAGCACGCUUAGGCGUGUGACUGCGUACCUUUUGUAUAAUGGGUCAGCGACUUAUAUUCUGUAGCAAGGUUAACCGAAUAGGGGAGCCGAAGGGAAACCGAGUCUUAACUGGGCGUUAAGUUGCAGGGUAUAGACCCGAAACCCGGUGAUCUAGCCAUGGGCAGGUUGAAGGUUGGGUAACACUAACUGGAGGACCGAACCGACUAAUGUUGAAAAAUUAGCGGAUGACUUGUGGCUGGGGGUGAAAGGCCAAUCAAACCGGGAGAUAGCUGGUUCUCCCCGAAAGCUAUUUAGGUAGCGCCUCGUGAAUUCAUCUCCGGGGGUAGAGCACUGUUUCGGCAAGGGGGUCAUCCCGACUUACCAACCCGAUGCAAACUGCGAAUACCGGAGAAUGUUAUCACGGGAGACACACGGCGGGUGCUAACGUCCGUCGUGAAGAGGGAAACAACCCAGACCGCCAGCUAAGGUCCCAAAGUCAUGGUUAAGUGGGAAACGAUGUGGGAAGGCCCAGACAGCCAGGAUGUUGGCUUAGAAGCAGCCAUCAUUUAAAGAAAGCGUAAUAGCUCACUGGUCGAGUCGGCCUGCGCGGAAGAUGUAACGGGGCUAAACCAUGCACCGAAGCUGCGGCAGCGACACUGUGUGUUGUUGGGUAGGGGAGCGUUCUGUAAGCCUGUGAAGGUGUGCUGUGAGGCAUGCUGGAGGUAUCAGAAGUGCGAAUGCUGACAUAAGUAACGAUAAAGCGGGUGAAAAGCCCGCUCGCCGGAAGACCAAGGGUUCCUGUCCAACGUUAAUCGGGGCAGGGUGAGUCGACCCCUAAGGCGAGGCCGAAAGGCGUAGUCGAUGGGAAACAGGUUAAUAUUCCUGUACUUGGUGUUACUGCGAAGGGGGGACGGAGAAGGCUAUGUUGGCCGGGCGACGGUUGUCCCGGUUUAAGCGUGUAGGCUGGUUUUCCAGGCAAAUCCGGAAAAUCAAGGCUGAGGCGUGAUGACGAGGCACUACGGUGCUGAAGCAACAAAUGCCCUGCUUCCAGGAAAAGCCUCUAAGCAUCAGGUAACAUCAAAUCGUACCCCAAACCGACACAGGUGGUCAGGUAGAGAAUACCAAGGCGCUUGAGAGAACUCGGGUGAAGGAACUAGGCAAAAUGGUGCCGUAACUUCGGGAGAAGGCACGCUGAUAUGUAGGUGAAGCGACUUGCUCGUGGAGCUGAAAUCAGUCGAAGAUACCAGCUGGCUGCAACUGUUUAUUAAAAACACAGCACUGUGCAAACACGAAAGUGGACGUAUACGGUGUGACGCCUGCCCGGUGCCGGAAGGUUAAUUGAUGGGGUCAGCGCAAGCGAAGCUCUUGAUCGAAGCCCCGGUAAACGGCGGCCGUAACUAUAACGGUCCUAAGGUAGCGAAAUUCCUUGUCGGGUAAGUUCCGACCUGCACGAAUGGCGUAAUGAUGGCCAGGCUGUCUCCACCCGAGACUCAGUGAAAUUGAACUCGCUGUGAAGAUGCAGUGUACCCGCGGCAAGACGGAAAGACCCCGUGAACCUUUACUAUAGCUUGACACUGAACAUUGAGCCUUGAUGUGUAGGAUAGGUGGGAGGCUUAGAAGUGUGGACGCCAGUCUGCAUGGAGCCGACCUUGAAAUACCACCCUUUAAUGUUUGAUGUUCUAACGUUGACCCGUAAUCCGGGUUGCGGACAGUGUCUGGUGGGUAGUUUGACUGGGGCGGUCUCCUCCUAAAGAGUAACGGAGGAGCACGAAGGUUGGCUAAUCCUGGUCGGACAUCAGGAGGUUAGUGCAAUGGCAUAAGCCAGCUUGACUGCGAGCGUGACGGCGCGAGCAGGUGCGAAAGCAGGUCAUAGUGAUCCGGUGGUUCUGAAUGGAAGGGCCAUCGCUCAACGGAUAAAAGGUACUCCGGGGAUAACAGGCUGAUACCGCCCAAGAGUUCAUAUCGACGGCGGUGUUUGGCACCUCGAUGUCGGCUCAUCACAUCCUGGGGCUGAAGUAGGUCCCAAGGGUAUGGCUGUUCGCCAUUUAAAGUGGUACGCGAGCUGGGUUUAGAACGUCGUGAGACAGUUCGGUCCCUAUCUGCCGUGGGCGCUGGAGAACUGAGGGGGGCUGCUCCUAGUACGAGAGGACCGGAGUGGACGCAUCACUGGUGUUCGGGUUGUCAUGCCAAUGGCACUGCCCGGUAGCUAAAUGCGGAAGAGAUAAGUGCUGAAAGCAUCUAAGCACGAAACUUGCCCCGAGAUGAGUUCUCCCUGACCCUUUAAGGGUCCUGAAGGAACGUUGAAGACGACGACGUUGAUAGGCCGGGUGUGUAAGCGCAGCGAUGCGUUGAGCUAACCGGUACUAAUGAACCGUGAGGCUUAACCUUACAACGCCGAAG